RNAcentral lists this long non-coding RNA (532 nucleotides) under Mytilus galloprovincialis (Mediterranean mussel). The record is from RNAcentral. Lineage: Eukaryota; Metazoa; Mollusca; Bivalvia; Mytilida; Mytilidae.
UACCGGCCAGUCAGGAUCCUACUUCGUCAAAAUUAUCUCCCCAUUACGCCAGUUCAUUUUCACAAUCGUAAAAAUGGAAGCCAUUGUAGCGAUGACGCGCUACCAAUUUUGCUCUUGGAAACCGAUAAAUUUAUCCACAUUGCACCAAUACGAUCCUUAUAUGUCAGUUAUAUUUUAAAAGACAAAUGUAUCAACUAGCUAAUGAGCAUCAGUUAAUGAUCUUGUCUGUAUUGAUUCAACUUAAAACUAUUGUCUGAUCGGUUGUUAGGUGGAAUUUUCGAAAAAUCAUAAACAUUUAAAAAAAAUCUAAUUAAAUAUUUCGUGGAAGGGCAGACUAGAUUUUUUUAGUGGUUGAAGACUAUAAACCCUAGUUAUCACACACAAAAAAUUAGAAUUUUUCGAAGAUAUGCAUUUUCAUCAUCCAACUUGUAAGACUGUCGUCAAGUACUUUCAGUAAAAAAAUAGCUAUUCGAACACACCUUCCCUGUUUUUGUGACUCAUUAGAUAGGUAUUUCACUUGACCCAUAUAUUU